Molecule: long non-coding RNA, 697 nt
Organism: Manacus vitellinus (golden-collared manakin)
Lineage: Eukaryota; Metazoa; Chordata; Aves; Passeriformes; Pipridae
Exons: 3
Source: RefSeq, a predicted model, not a curated record
GAGGAGCAGGAAGAGGAGGAGCAGGGGGAAGAGGAAGAAUAGAGGAAGUGGGGGAGCAGGAAAAGGAGGAAGAGGAAGAGGAGGAACAACCAUCACAGUUCCUCCCACCCUGGAAGCAUCGCCCCACCUGCAUUCCACAGAUGACUGGGGAGGGGGAGCUCGCCCCAGAUAUCUUGGGGGGUCCAUGUUGGGUUUUUGGGGGGAGGGGAUGUUUGCAGCUUAAAGACUCCAGAAUGAACUGCAAAUGCCCCUUGGGGAGAUACUGGGGGGUCCCCAGCAGGUAGGUUUUUUUGGUGGGGGUCCCAGCAGGUGCCAGCAGGCAGGAGCCACGUGUCCCAUCUCAGGGGGCGUCCACCAGUUUUGGGGACCUCCAGCAGACCCAGGUGGGGAACGCCGGGACCCCCAGAGUGGGGAGAGUGGAGAGGGGUGAUACUGGAGCUGGGUGAACCCCAGCAGCCUGGGGAGGGGGGGAGCACAGAGAUGGGAGAACCCUGGGACAUGUAGCAUCCAGGAGAGGAGAAAAUCUGGAGGAGAGGACCUCUGGGAUACUGAAACUGGAGCCUGGAAAGAGAGGACCCCCAGCAGCCUGGAGAGGGAUUUCUGAUUCCCAAACCUUGGCUGGAUGGAGGAGGAGGCUGUGAGGAAGAUGCCCCAGGACACCCAGGCAGGCCCCGAGCUGAGGACGGAGAGCCCGGAG